Long non-coding RNA from Durio zibethinus, 644 nucleotides. RefSeq lists it as uncharacterized. Lineage: Eukaryota; Viridiplantae; Streptophyta; Magnoliopsida; Malvales; Malvaceae. The record is from RefSeq and is a predicted model, not a curated record.
UUUAAGAUAAGUCUAGGAAGAAAAACCUCUACCGCACAAAGUAGAAAGCGAGAAAAGGAGGAAAGAGAGGGAGGUUGAGGAAGUCUUCGGCUAUGGUGUAUUCGGCAAGAAAACAUAUUCUACGCUCGUAUUCUAAAUUUUCUUGCCGACUCCACCCAUGCCUAUGAUUUCCUUUGGUUCCUUUUUAUCCUCGCUUCUCUCACCCAAAAAUAAACUAAGAUCUCUGCCUAUUUUUAGGUUAAACAGUAGUGAAGAGGGAAAGGAGAGGGAGUUAAUGAAAGUUUUUGGGAGUGGGGUGGGUGGAAAGAUUUGUAUUAUCUCUUGAUUUUUUCGUAAUCUCUCUUUUUUUAGAUCUUUGAAAGAAUAAAACAAGGGAUCCAGAAAAUCUUUCCAACUCCCCCCAUUCCACUGAUUUCCAGUUCUUCCUCUCCAUUUUCUUACUUUUUUUUUCAAUCCUCUGUUCCAUCCUCUGCUCAUGCCCGAUCUUGGCAUCUUCUGACAGUUCAGCUAAGAAAUCUUUCCACAGGAGCAUCAACCCUUGGAUUCAGCUUGUAGUCCUUUUAUGUAAAAAAUUAUUUUUAUGUUAAAAAAGAUAACUUAGAAAAAAAAAAAAAAAAACCUUCACAUCCUUAAAUAUGCCUCAA